UUGUUAAACCAUAGGCAGCCAUACCUUCCUCCUCAGUCCCUUCUUUUAAAGGCAGGUGAAGUUCAAUAUUUAAACUUUUAUCUUGCAAAAUUCAAUGUAUUUAUUUCUUUAUUUUAAAGCAGGGCAAUCCCACAGUCCCAGAGGGUGGGUGGCCAUCAAGGAAAGCAAGGCAGUGUCCUGCUGGAAUCCCAAAUCCCCCACGUCCCUGCCUUAUUCUGCACUCUGGUGCCUCCUGCUCUGCCUGGGGACCUCUCCCUGUGCUGGCUGAGGUGGGAAAUUGUCCCUCUCACGUUUCUCCAGGCAGCUCUCAUUGGCACCUGGCUGUUCCUGCCCAUUAUUCAUGGCACGAGGAGCACGAGGAAAGCCAAACGCACCGAGCCCGCCUGCCAUGCUCCCCAAAUACAGAUGAGGCAAGAAAAGCCAUAAAAGCCUCUGAGGCCUCCUAAUUUCUCCCCUUUGAAUCAUCUGUCAUAAAACCUCACUGGAGACGGGAUGUGCUCACUCAGAGGUGGAUUUUGGCAGCUCUCAGGAUGCCCUCAGAGCAGGGGGGUGAGAGCUGUCCUGCCCCAGCAGUGGAUGCUCCUCCUUGUGCAAAAUUCUGGAGAUUUAACAUCAGAACAUCGCCUGACAUUAAAGAGUAACAACCUCGGAAUUAUUUGUUCCAGCAGCUAUGAAGAAAUAAGACUUGGACAUUCUAGAACUUCGGGAGGACAUCUCCCUCUUUCCAGAAGAAAAGGCUCAGGGAUGUUUUUCAUUAUGUCCACCAUCAAAAGUUCACCAGCUCCAGACAGCUCCUGAGCUCAAAUAAAUCUCUUGAAUUCCACA
Molecule: long non-coding RNA, 825 nt
Filed under: Cyanistes caeruleus (blue tit)
Lineage: Eukaryota; Metazoa; Chordata; Aves; Passeriformes; Paridae
Description: lncRNA (ENSCCEG00000006966.1)
Source: RNAcentral